AAAUGCAAGUGAAAGUGACGUGAAAGUUGUUAAGUAUUGUAACCCAUACUCAGAAAUUGUGCUCUGCAUUUAACCCAUCCAAGUGCACACACACAGCAGUGAGUAGUGAUCACACACACCCAGAGC
This is a long non-coding RNA of Sinocyclocheilus anshuiensis, 126 nucleotides long. RefSeq lists it as uncharacterized. The record is from RefSeq and is a predicted model, not a curated record. Lineage: Eukaryota; Metazoa; Chordata; Actinopteri; Cypriniformes; Cyprinidae. The transcript is spliced from 3 exons.